RNAcentral lists this long non-coding RNA (214 nucleotides) under Musa acuminata (dwarf banana). RNAcentral describes it as "long non-coding RNA (MACU_LNC011157)". Lineage: Eukaryota; Viridiplantae; Streptophyta; Magnoliopsida; Zingiberales; Musaceae. The record is from RNAcentral.
UGAAAUCAUGCUCUACUAAGUAUAAGAAUAAAUAUAAUCAACAAUAAUUGUUAUUUUAAGAAUGUCAAGAAAGAAUCUAUUAUAUAACAAGUGUUUAAUUGCAACUAAAAUAUACUACAAAGACAACUGCUUGUGAAGAGGAUGGUUCAAAUAUUUAGCAAGUGAUAAUUCGGAAUAAUUUAUUACAACUUAAUUUGCAAUGUUCCACUUUGUG